RNAcentral lists this ribosomal RNA (1040 nucleotides) under Lingulaulax polyedra. RNAcentral describes it as "Lingulodinium polyedra partial Bacterial large subunit ribosomal RNA". It matches the Rfam family "Bacterial large subunit ribosomal RNA", at positions 155 to 1245 of the family's 2925-position model. The record is from RNAcentral. Lineage: Eukaryota; Dinophyceae; Gonyaulacales; Lingulodiniaceae.
GAACUGAAUAUAUAGGUUUGGUGAAGCGAACCCGGGGAACUGAAACAUCUCAGUACCCGGAGGAAAAGACAUCAACAGAGAUUCCCGUAGUAGUGGCGAGCGAACCGGGACCAGGCCAGUGCCUUUUAGUCAACUAACAGAACACUUUGGAAAGAGUGGCCAUAGUGGGUGACAGCCCCGUAUGUGAAAGUGAUCUAGAAGGACUUGAGUAGGGCGGGACACGUGAAAUCCUGUCUGAACAUGGGGGGACCACCCUCCAAGCCUAAAUACUCGUACAUGACCGAUAGCGAACACAGUACCGUGAGGGAAAGGUGAAAAGCACCCCGAUUAGGGGAGUGAAACAGUACCUGAAACCGGAUGCUUACAAGCAGUUGGAGCCCCAUAGGGGGUGACAGCGUACCUCUUGCAUAAUGGGUCAGUGACUUAAUGUAUCGUGCGAGCUUAAGCCGUUAGGUGUAGGCGAAGCGAAAGCGAGUCUGAAUAGGGCGACUGAGUACGAUGUAUUAGACCCGAACCCCGGCGAUCUAGGCAUGAGCAGGUUGAAGGUGCGGUAACACGCACUGGAGGACCGAACCGUUGCAUGUUGAAAAAUGCUCGGAUGACUUGUGUUUAGGGGUGAAAGGCCAAUCAAGCCGGGAAAUAGCUGGUUCUCCGCGAAAUCUAUUUAGGUAGAGCGUCGGAUGAAUACUCUCGGGGGUAGAGCACUGGAUGGGCUAUGGGGGCUUACCGCCUUACUGAUCCUAACCAAACUCCGAAUACCGAGGAGUACUAGAUGGCAGACACACUGCGGGUGCUAACGCCCGUAGUGAAAAGGGAAACAACCCUGACCUCCAGCUAAGGCCCCUAAUUCAUGGCUAAGUGGGAAAGCAGGUGAGACGACCAAAACAACCAGGAGGUUGGCUUAGAAGCAGCCAUCCUUUAAAGAUAGCGUAACAGCUCACUGGUCUAAUUAAGUUGUCUUGCGGCGAAGAUGUACCGGGGCUCAAGCCAUGAGCCGAAGCUGAGGAUGCACAUAGUGCAUGGUAGCGGAGCGUAGUGUG